UAAAGGGUAAAAUAACGUAGUACUGUAGUGUUGUAUUAUAGGAACUACUACUGUACUAACUACCUUAAACCGGAUUUAUAUUAAGGUAUCAUGUGAUUAAUUGUACCAUACUACCGACUAGGUAACACGACAUUGUAGGUCGUAAAAAGGUAUGACGUUUGGCACUCACAGACCUGCAGGUCCCACUAUAGCUAGCAGCAAGGUGUAGGAUAGUCAAUACAAUAUAGAUCUAUACGCAAACUCACGCUCUCCCUCCAAGAGACUCUUGCUACAACUCGGGCCAUGACAUUUAAGGCAUGCUCUGAUACAGUGGAUCACAAUUUUGUUAACGUAUUCAUGUAUAUGUAAUGUAUUGUUACUCGUUCUAGUAUCGUUGUAUAUGUUCUCUUUCUAGUAUAGUUGUAAAUGUUCUCUUUCUAAUAUAGUUGUAAAUGUUCUCUUUCUAGUAUAGUUGUAUAUGUUCUUCUUCUAGUAUAAUUGUAUAUGUUCUCAUAGUAAUGUAAUGUAUGUGUUCUCAUAGUAAUAAGUACUGACUCAUGAAUGAACUGACUCAUUGUUCUAGCAAUAGUAUAAGUAUUAUCAUGUGCUACCCUGAUGGUAACUUACUAAUGAUAUAACUAGUACGUAUGAAUAUUGAAGAACUUUUAUGACUAUAUAUGUACACAUGAUAUAUAAUUAAUAUUGAAACGACCUUCGGACGGCUACCCGAUAUCCCACCAGACCACAUCUCAAGCACAAAAAGGAAAUAGGGCGGACGGCCUUCCUAAGCCUUUUAAACAUUUCUUAUAUAACUAUACAUAUGCGGGCAUGCAAUUUAUAAUAAGUAUAACAAAGUUUAAAUAAAAGUAUUUGAUAAGUAAAAGAAUUUGUAAAACACUUUGAUAAAUAGUUUGAACAGUAAUAAAAUCAUUGGUUUUGUAGUUAUUAAUCACAUGUGAUUUAUGUAAUAACUAUAAGUAUUAAACUUGUAUUCCCCCCCCACCAUUAAAGAAUUUAAAACAUUUAAAAGUAUUUCAAAGGUUAGUUAAAGGGGUAUGAACUCACUUGUGGUGAGUGGAUUGGAUUGAAGUGUCGGACACGGUGCUAGGUGACAAAUGAAGACUUGUACACACGCACGAGCCUAGUUAUCAUAUAAUGAACAUAUAUAUAACUAAUUAGCCAAAAUAUAACUAAUAAAUUAAGUUGGGACACUCUAGAACAUGAAAACACUUUGUUUCAAGUGUUAAAGAUCACAAGGAUUGCAUCCAAGUGUUGGUAGGGCAAAGUUAGGGUGUUUGGAGUUCAAGGGUAAACUCCUUUCGAGUUUACGGUUUUAAUGACCUUUACCCUAGGAGUUUACGACAGUAAACUGAAGGGUUUACGGCAGUAAACUCAAGGGUUUACGGUCGUAAACUCCACUCCUUGAAACCAUGUGUUGUUUUGAGGUUUAACAAGUCUUUUGAAGUACUUCUACUUGGUGGUUUGGCCUUUGGAAGGGACUAGGGCAACAAAAACACUCCUUGGAGGAGUUUACGGCCUCAUGGACAUUUCCCUUUGGGUUUACUACCGUAAACCCUUAUGGAAAAGGGUAUUGCCAUGUUUUCAACUCCUUAACACAACUAGGUAAUUGUCUAGGUUAGUUUUUAGGCCUAACGAAGGAAAAUGACCCAUUUAAACACACUUUAGGGUGUUUAUGGUUUUGGGAGAUCCCCAAACCGUAAACACCUAUAAAUGUUGGUCUUUGGUGUUUUUCAAGGCUUAAACACAUCAAGGGAAGGUUUAAACAUGUCAAGGUAAGUCUUAAACAUCAAACUAGGGCUUAAAUAAAGACUUAGGCAAACCUUGGUGCCAUUCUUGGUGUUUACAGCCCAAGAACAUUCUUGGACCGUGAACACCUCAAACCUUGUGUUCUUGGCAUAUUUUCUUGAUGUUUAAAUGUAAUACUAGCUUAAUAACACUCAAGGAUGGAAGUGCUUACUAUUAGGAAGCUUGAUUUGAGCUAAAAGUCAAAGAACACUUAGUGUGUGUUCUUGGUGUUCUUGGUGUUUUUGGAAAUCUAGACAAAUUUACAUAAAUGAAUGGAUGAAUAGAUGUAUAAACACUAGAUUAAGUGUUUUACUAACUUCAAAUGGUUAGAACACUUACAAGUUUGAAGAUCUUGAAUAUGUUUUGGGAUGAUACUUGAAAGGAUAUUUUGGAGUUUACUCUUUUGAUAUUUGGGGAGUAAACACAAAUGGCUAGACUUGGGGAGUAAAAUCAUGCAUAUGAAUGAGUUCACGGAUUAUUGGGUGAUUUUUCGACCCAAACAUAAAAGUUUGGUCGGGAAUUUCUAAGACACGAGGUGUUUGCGGUUUUUAAAAUUCAAAACCCGAGACGGCACUUUCUUUCACCCGUUCGUUUAAAAAUAAUAUUAAAAUAAUCACACGAACUUUAAAUUUCUUAAAAUUAAGAAAUAAUGACAUUAACUUAUGAUACAACGUGGUUGACUUUUAGGGUUUGACUAAAUGGAAAUUUCGGGUUGUCACAUCAUCCCCUGUUAAAGGGAAUUUCAUCCUGAAAUUAAAGUCUAAACAAUAAAGUAGUUACAAAUAACUAAGCAAAAAGAUGAGGAUAUUUCAUUUUCAUCUGAUCCUCACGCUCCCAAGUGAAUUCCGGUCCUCGCUUGGCGUUCCAGCGAACCUUCACAAUCGGGAUAUGGCUUUGCUUCGUCUGCUUGACUUCUUGGUCCAUGAUCUCUACUGGUUCUUCCACGAUCUCGUCGAGUGGGAUUACAAGAGUCUCGUCGGACAGACACUUUUUCAAGUUAGAGACGUGGAAUGUAGAAUGUACGUUAUGUAGCUCGUCGGGUAGAUUGAGUUUGUAAGCUACAGAGCCGAUUCUUGCGAGAAUCUCGAAAGGCCCUAUAUAUCUCGGAUUGAGCUUCCCACUCUUACCAAAGCGUAUUAAGCCCUUCCAAGGUGAGACUUUAAGAAGGACUCGGUCUCCCACCUGGAAUUCCAAAGGUUUCCUUUGUUUGUCAGUGUAGCUUUUAUGUCGGUCUCUAGAGGCUUUCAAUCGUUCAUGGAUCUGAACGAUCUUCUCUGUCAUUUCUCGAAUGAUUUUCGGGCCUGUGAGAGUACUGUUAGAAAUUUGCCCUCUAGCUAAUUGGGUAUCACCCACUUCAGCCCAGCACAGAGGGGAUCUACACUUUCGGCCAUAGAGGGCUUCAAAUGGAGCAGCCUUGAUGGUCGUGUGAUAACUGUUAUUGUAGAAAAAUUCGACAAGGGGAAAAUGAGUAUCCCAUGCCUUUCCAAAGUUAAUCACACAGGCUCUCAACAUAUCUUCCAGUGUUUGGAUGGUCCUCUCACUUUGUCCGUCGGUCUGUGGAUGGUAGGACGUGCUCAUGUCUAGCCUUGUUCCCAGGGAAUGUUGUGGCGAUUGCCAGAAUCUUGAGGUGAACCUACUAUCUCUAUCGGAGAUAAUGGAUAUAGGAACACCAUGCAGUCGUAUGAUUUCCCUAAUGUAUGUUCUCGUAAGCUUCUCCAUUUUGCCAGUUUCUUUGAUAGGCAGGAAGUGCGCAGACUUGGUCAAUCUAUCGACUGACCCAUAUGGUAUCAAGCCCACUCGUUGUCUUGGGAAACUUGGUUAUGAAAUCCAUAGUGAUCCGCUCCCACUUCCAUUCUGGAAUCUCUGGUUCUUGUAGUAAACUGGAGGGCUUCUGGUACUCGACCUUAACCUUUGCACAAGUAAGGCAUUUACUUACGAAGGUAGCAAUCUCUACUUUCAUAUUAGGCCACCAGUAUAACUUUUUAAGAUCCAGAUACAUCUUAUCUGAACCUGGGUGAAUGGAAUACCGAGUGUUGUGCGCCUCGGUCAUGACCAAGUCUCAGAAACCACCGUGCUUCGGUGUCCAGAUCCGGUUCAUGAAAUAUAAGGCUCUGCCACCCUUGGCUUCUAAAUUUUUAUCCAUUCCUCUAAGGGAUUCACUCGUCACGUUUUCAGGUUUCAUGGCUUCGAGCUGGGCCGCCUGAAUUUGCUUAGACAAGUGUGAAUGGAUAGUCAUCGUCAAUGACUUGACUCUUCGACCAGAAUAUUCCUUCCGACUNGUUGGCCUUUCCAGAUUGAUAAUGAAUUUCACAUUCAUAGUCAUUGAGUAGCUUGACCCAUCGUCAUUGUCGCAUGUUGAGCUCCUUCUGAUCAAAUAUGUGCUGUAAACUCUUGUGGUCGGUAAAGAUAGUGCUUUUCAUUCCGUACAAGUAAUGUCUCUAGAUCUUCAGUGCAUACACAACUACUCCCAGCUCAAGAUCGUGUGUGGUGUAGUUAACUUCGUGUGUCUUCAGCUAUUUCGAGGCGUAGGCGAUGAACUUACCCCGUUGCAUCAGAACACAACCGAGCCCUUGAUUUGACGCGUCGCAAUAGACAACGAAGUCUUCUAUCCCUUCGUGGAGGGAUAGUAUUGGUGCGGUGCACAAGGCUCGCUUGAGUGUUUGGAACACUCUCUCCUGUUUCUCUUCCCAGUCAAAGGCCACGCCUUUUUGGGUCAGUGUUGUAAGAGGUUUCGCAAUUCGGGAGAAGUUCUAUAUGAACAUGCGGUAGUAGCCAGCGAGGCCUAGAAAUUGACGAAUUUCGGUAGGCGUCUUCUAUGUUCACCAGUUCUAAAUGGCCUUAAUUUUGGAUGGGUCCAUGUGGAUUCCUUCUUUGCUUACCACGUGUCCUAAUAAUUCGACUCUUCGGAUCCAAAAUUCACAUUUAGAGAACUUCGCAUAGAGCUUCUCCGUUCGUAAAGUUCCUAGAACUUGUCGCAGGUGAUCGCCAUGCUCUUCCUUACUUCGGGAGUAGAUCAGGAUGUCAUCGAUGAAGACAAUGACGAACUGAUCCAAGUAAGGUCGGCAUACUCUAUUCAUCAGAUCCAUGAAAACUGCGGGUGCAUUGGUCAAUCCGAAUGGCAUCACCACGAACUCGUAGUAUCCGUAACGAGUUCGGAAGGCUGUCUUUGAAACAUCCUCCUCUAGCACUCGUAACUGGUGAUAUCCGGAUCUUAGGUCAAUUUUGGAAAAGUAGUUCGCCCCUUGCAGUUGGUCAAAUAGAUCGUCUAUGCGGGGCAGAGGGUAACGAUUUUUUACCGUCAGUUUGUUGAGUUCUCUUUAGUUGAUGCACAUACGGAAUGAUCCGUCUUUAAUCUUAACGAACAAGACCGGUGCUCCCCAAGGCGAGAAACUUGGUCUUAUAAAGCCCUUGCUGAGCAGUUCGUUAAGUUGACCAGAUAGUUCAUGCAUCUCUGCUGGUGCUAAUCGGUAGGGCGACUUGGCUACUGGGGUAGCUCCUGGGACUAAGUCGAUUCUGAACUCGACUUGUCGUUGCGGAGGUAAUCCGGGUAGUUCUUCUGGGAAAAUGUCGGGAAAGUCGCUCACUACUGGAAUGUUCUUUAGUUCUUUCGUUUCGAGGCUCGUAUCGACAACGUGAGCAAGGAAUGCAUGGUAUUCUUUAUGUAGAUACUUCUGUGCUUGGAUACUUGAUAUAAUACGAAGACUCGCACUGGGUUUGUCGCCGUAGACGACAAGGGUUUCGUUAGACGGACUGCUUUCUCGUAGCACAUGAUGUCGGCGCGAUGAAGACUUAACCAAUCCAUGCCAAUGAUAACGUCGAAACUUUUAAUCGAGACCGGCAUAAGGUCGAGUGGGAAUGAAUGGUUAUCUGGAGUUAGGGUACAACCUAAGUAUAUGCUAUUCGUGCUUUCAGUUUUUCCAUUAGCCAUUUCUAUUGUGAAUUGUUCUUUAAGUGUGUGUGGUGGUUGUUUAAGCAUGCGAGCAAAUUUAUAGUUCACGAAGCUUCGCUCCGCUCCACUAUCGAACAUAAUGCAUGCAUAGGAGUUAUCGAGGAGGAACGUACCAGUCACCACUGUCGGGUCAGCAACUGCUUCCCCGUGGCCUAUUGCUAGUACCCUCCCUGCUCCUCCAGUAUUCCUCGCCUUAGGGCAGUCCCUUUUAAAGUGGCCUGUUUCGCCACAUCCAUAGCAAGUUGGGCUCACGCCAGAGCCAGGAACUUGGGAGAUCGGUUGCGCCGGGAACNGACUGUGUGUCCUUUCCUAUUGCAGUUAGAGCACUGCAUUUCACGGCAGGGUCCGUUGUGGUGGUAGUUUCAUUUGUUGCAUUUAGGCAAACUUCCAGCAUACUGCCCCACCGGAGCAGUAGCAGCAGGGGUUAUUGCGGCAUGCACAGCCACAGUUUGCUGCUUUUUUGCAGCUCGUUGUUUCUUCUUCUCAUCCCAGAACUUCCGCUUAGUGUCAGCGGGUUUGGAGGGUUCUGAGAUGGCUAGGGUUGUUGUCGCUGCUGGGGCUUUAACUCCAUGGUCAAUGAGUCGUUGUGCCAGUCGCUUGGCACUGUUGAAGGUAGCAGGGUUUGAUGAUUGGACAUUUCCCUGAUACGGAGGCACUAGCCCCCAUAUGUACCUCUCAAUCUUUUUCCCUUUAGUGGGAACCAUAUUGGGGCAGAGGGCCACCAGUUCACUGAAUCUGACGGUAUAUACGACUAUGUUGGAGCCCUUCAUGGUUAGGCUCCACAACUCCUGCUCCAAUUUCUGGAUCUCGCCCCUCGGGCAGUAUUCCUCGAUCAUGAGGUCUUUCAUGGUUUCCCAACCCAUGUCAUUGGCCACCAUGAGAGUUAGUGCUUUAACAUGGCCAUUCCACCACGUCAGGGCUUUUUCUUCAAAGGUGCAUGCGGCAUAUUUGACUUUGCUCGCAGCAGGGCACGAACAGAUUUUGAAGACUGAUUCAGUCUUCUCGAACCAUUGCAAGAGGGCAAUGACUCCGCUGGUUCCUUUGAAGGACUUCGGCUUGCAGUUGGUGAAAUCCUUGUAGGAGCACUCUCUUGAGCGCACAGGGAUUUCANNNNNNNNNNNNNNNNNNNNNNNNNNNNNNNNNNNNNNNNNNNNNNNNNNNNNNNNNNNNNNNNNNNNNNNNNNNNNNNNNNNNNNNNNNNNNNNNNNNNNNNNNNNNNNNNNNNNNNNNNNNNNNNNNNNNNNNNNNNNNNNNNNNNNNNNNNNNNNNNNNNNNNNNNNNNNNNNNNNNNNNNNNNNNNNNNNNNNNNNNNNNNNNNNNNNNNNNNNNNNNNNNNNNNNNNNNNUGGCUGCAGUAUCGAUGACUGGAGGAGGAUGAGGUGGUGGAGGUGCAGGGUUAGGCCUGGGAGAUUUGCGAGGAGGCAUCUUUUUGCUGAACGUUUAUAAAGGUAAGCACAUUGGUAAGAAUCAAUUGUAAGUGGGGUGAGAGUGACACAUGGACUAACUAACCAUAGCCCAACAGUUGAAUGAGUGUUUUGAGAUCACAACAUAGAAGAAUAUUAAGAAAACACAAGUGUACGGAUUUUUCCAUAGAUUAGGUAGUUGUCAAUAAUACUGGUAUUACUGAUUUAAUAAGUUCAGGGAAAAUCGAACUAACAGUAGGUCGUACAUCAUACCAUACAGAAAAGUUUGACAGUUCUUAGAUUCCUAGUUAGAGUACUGAAAGUUAGGAAUAUUUUACAGACAAGUGCUACUUGGAGCACAUAUACUAAAGGCUAUUCCUUAACCAAAAGACAAAGAUUUACUAGACAUCUCUAACGGCAAUGGGAAUUCCUCGGGCGAACCCUGAGGUCUGCCACUUGACGAACCACCUCUUGAAGGUGUCGCUCAUGAUCCCUCUGACGGGCUCGAAAUUCCAUGACUUCGGCUCGGGAGGCAGCCAGUUGUUUCUGCAGGGUCUCAUUGGUUCUCCUGGUCCUUUCCAUUUCUUCUUCAAGACAGCGGAUGCGGACUGUGUUGACACCAGAGUUGGCAUCAAUCUCCAUGACCUGGUCGAUGGCUGCUUUACCUUGUUCAACAUUACAAGCUAUUCUGCGGAUAAUGACGGGCAAAACUCGAUCCACAGAGCCACCUUCGCUGAGGUUGUAAAAGCUUCGGUCCCCAAAGUAAGGUAAGGGUUGACCUUAUUCGUCACUCCAGCGAUUCAAGUUGGUUGCCCACAAGGGUGUGGGACCUGGGAAAGCUGGUCGGGAUUGUUGUUUGGGGCUUGACCUACUGGCGGUAGGUUGUUGACUUCAGGCUCAGAGUCAGAUCCAUCAAAAAAGCCUUCUGCGAGGUGAUCAUCCAAAGGGAUUGGAUGCUCAUCUUCGGGCUCUUCUUCGAUCCACCCAGCAUUGCCUUCAUUUGGGAAGUACGGGUCACCAUGAUGGAAUCCAGCCAUUUAAAUCUACGCGAGAAGAGAGGUAUAAGAAUAUAGUAUAUAAGUAGCUUGUAGUAGCACAAAAUACCCCUAUAGUAUUUUAAGUUUAAGUUCUACUGAUCUCCUUGUGGUAUUGUUGGUAAGUCUUUAGACUUGUUAACAUAUCACAACCAUUCUAGGGCAUAAGCUAAUCACUCCUCGGACCAGCAAAGUUGAUCAGGCUAUGCCAUUCCCAGGACUGACCCUACAUCCCCGAGCUUACUUGUGAUAUUUAACAAUCGUAAUACUUUUGAUCUUGUCAUUGUGACACUGAUUUUAGUAUGAAUGCAGACUAGUAUACUUAAUUAAAUAUUUUAAUAUUUAAAGUAUAGACUCUUGGUCAGAGUGUUUUAAAUCCCAAAUGGGUUUAUAGUUAGUAUAUCUUUUAUGGGUUGAUAUACUCAAUUCACUAUAAACAAUGCUCUAAUACCAAUCUGUCACACCCCAAAACUGAGAAUGGCGGAAACGUUCUGGGGCGGAGGACGUCAUGUAAAGUAUCACAACACAGUAUAACAGUAAAUAAGCAAACAACAUCAUCCAUUGCAUUAAAUAUAUAUUUUUAAUACAAGUGUGAUCCGUACAGUUAUAGACACCAAAAAGUAAAUCAAAAUAAUAAGAUGAGUCUUGAAUGCGCUCCGUCUUCUCAAAAGCUGGCCUCGGUACCUGUCUACUGAUGACCUGAGAAUACAAGUUAUUUUGAAAGAGUUUAUCAGCAUUAAGCUGGUGAGUUCAUAAGUAUUUUAGUGUCGGUGUUUGUGGUUUUAAGCAUGAGUUUGUAAACAUUGGUGACAAAACUAUGUGAAUGUUUGUAAAAGUUUGAAUCUCUCAGAAAAACCUAUAUUUUCUAUUAAAAGUAGCCUUCUACUAAGGCGUAACUAUUUUGUAUGUUCGUUUAUUGUAAAAGGGUGUAAUUUUCCCAAGUGUAACUAUCAUUAACAAAAUAUAGUUUGUACAUUAAUGUUUAAGUGAAAUGAUCACUAAAUAUAUGUAAAGGGUAAAAUAACGUAGUACUGUAGUGUUGUAUUAUAGGAAAUACUGCUGUACUAACUACCUUAAACCGGAUUUAUAUUAAGGUAUCAUGUGAUUAAUUGUACCAUACUAUCGACUAGGUAACACGACAUUGUAGGUCGUAAAAAGGUAUGACGUUUGGCACCCGCAGACCUGCAGGUCCGGCUAUAGCUAGCAGCAAGGUGUAGGAUAGUCAAUC
Molecule: long non-coding RNA, 9398 nt
Filed under: Lactuca sativa (garden lettuce)
Lineage: Eukaryota; Viridiplantae; Streptophyta; Magnoliopsida; Asterales; Asteraceae
Description: long non-coding RNA (LSAT_LNC008803)
Source: RNAcentral